Non-coding RNA from Parelaphostrongylus tenuis, 72 nucleotides. Lineage: Eukaryota; Metazoa; Nematoda; Chromadorea; Rhabditida; Metastrongylidae. The record is from the annotation of a GenBank genome assembly.
GCGUCGGAAGUGCAAUGGUUAGCAUGCACACCCGGAAAGAGUGAGAUCUGGGUUCGAAUCCCGGCUGACGCA